Molecule: ribosomal RNA, 202 nt
Filed under: uncultured bacterium
Lineage: Bacteria
Description: partial 16S ribosomal RNA
Rfam family: Bacterial small subunit ribosomal RNA
Source: RNAcentral
UACAGAGGGUGCGAGCGUUGUCCGGAAUUACUGGGCGUAAAGAGCUCGUAGGUGGUUUGUCGCGUUGUUCGUGAAAACUCACAGCUUAACUGUGGGCGUGCGGGCGAUACGGGCAGACUUGAGUACUGCAGGGGAGACUGGAAUUCCUGGUGUAGCGGUGGAAUGCGCAGAUAUCAGGAGGAACACCGGUGGCGAAAGGCGG